Molecule: ribosomal RNA, 494 nt
Filed under: uncultured bacterium
Lineage: Bacteria
Description: partial 16S ribosomal RNA
Rfam family: Bacterial small subunit ribosomal RNA
Source: RNAcentral
UCCGCCCGCUGGCGGCGUGCUUAACACAUGCAAGUCGAACGAAAAGGUCUGCUUUCCCUUGUGGAUUGCGGGUACUCGAGUGGCGAACGGGUUAGUAACACGAGAGUGAUCUGCCCCCAACUUGUGUAUAAGCCUGGGAACCUCGGUCUAAUUCCCGAUAGGACUUCAGGGUGGUGCCUGUGGUGGAGAACGAUUUUCUAGUGAUUGGGGAUGAGCUCGCGGCCUAUCAGCUUGUUGGUGGGGUAAUGGCGUACCAAGGCGGCGACGGGUAGCCGGCCUGAGAGGCUGGAGGGGCACAGUGGGAAUGAGAAACGACACAGACUCCUACGGGAGGCAGCAGCGGGGAAUAUUGGACGAUGGGGGGAAGAGUGGAGCAUAGACGCAGGGCGGGGGAUGACGGCCUUCGGGUUUUAUACUCCCUUCGAGGGCGAAAAAGUCACCUGCUUGGGAGGGUGGUGACGGUAGUGGUAGAAGAAGCACCGGCUAACUACGUG